RNAcentral lists this ribosomal RNA (109 nucleotides) under Aeromonas veronii. Its description in RNAcentral is "partial 16S ribosomal RNA". It matches the Rfam family "Bacterial small subunit ribosomal RNA", at positions 1431 to 1533 of the family's 1533-position model. The record is from RNAcentral. Lineage: Bacteria; Pseudomonadati; Pseudomonadota; Gammaproteobacteria; Aeromonadales; Aeromonadaceae.
UAGCUUAACCUUCGGGAGGGCGUUUACCACGGUGUGAUUCAUGACUGGGGUGAAGUCGUAACAAGGUAACCCUAGGGGAACCUGGGGUUGGAUCACCUCCUUACCUUAA